UGGGGAAUAUUGGACAAUGGGGGAAACCCUGAUCCAGCGACGCCGCGUGUGUGAAGAAGGCCUGCGGGUUGUAAAGCACUUUUAGUGGGGAUGAAAAGCUCAGGGCUAACACCUCUGGGUCUUGACCUAACCCACAGAAAAAGCACCGGCUAACUCUGUGCCAGCAGCCGCGGUAAUACAGAGGGUGCGAGCGUUAAUCGGAAUUACUGGGCGUAAAGCGUGCGUAGACGGUUAUGUAGGUCGGGUGUGAAAGCCCCGGGCUCAACCUGGGAAUGCCAUUCGAGACUGCAUAGCUAGGGUGCGGAAGAGGGAAGCGGAAUUUCCGGUGUAGCGGUGAAAUGCGUAGAUAUCGGAAGGAACACCAGUGGCGAAAGCGGCUUCCUGGUCCAGCACCGACGUUCAGGCACGAAAGCGUGGGGAGCAAAC
RNAcentral lists this ribosomal RNA (426 nucleotides) under uncultured bacterium. Its description in RNAcentral is "bacterial SSU rRNA". It matches the Rfam family "Bacterial small subunit ribosomal RNA", at positions 355 to 773 of the family's 1533-position model. The record is from RNAcentral.